Molecule: long non-coding RNA, 3076 nt
Organism: Heterocephalus glaber (naked mole-rat)
Lineage: Eukaryota; Metazoa; Chordata; Mammalia; Rodentia; Bathyergidae
Source: Ensembl
GGGACUUUCCGUACCUCACCCUGGAGAUCAAGGAGCAAAGCUGCCCAUGUGAGGGAGUGAGGAAAAGGAACACCAAGGAGCAAAGCCCUGAAGCGGCAAAGAGUUUCCAGAACAAUCUGUGAAUUCUCAAAGAACCAGGAUGUCUUCAGCUGAUGUACUCUUCCCCUUGAGUGUCACAGCAUCAGGGAACCACUGAGGCCUCAGCUGUGACCAGACGCAAAAUGGAGUUGUUUCCACACGCCAUAGUCGGCUCUCGGGCAAGGAAACACUGGGCCUUAGACAGUGCCCCUCUGCCCUGACACCCUGCCCUGGGGCCAGCCGACUAUGGACUGAAAGCCCUACAAACGAAACCGACAUCGCAAGAGGAUGGAUUGCCCAAAAUCACAUGGAUGCUGAGAUCCCGUAUUGGGGCCCGUUGCCUCUUGCUCCCUGAACUGUAGUUCCCCUGAAACUUAGCACCAGUUGGGCAACAGCGGGUACUGGCACCUGCCCUGCGGACUGGGCCCUGAACGACCACGAGCACGCGUCGGCGCAGACCUCGGACCCGGACCCGGACCGCGCGCGCCCCCUCGCGGGCGGCGUGGAGACGACACCAGACGCUUCCUUCACUCCGGGAAAGAGACUGGGGAGUUAGCGUCGGAAGGGAGAGGUAGUAACCUUUUCUUACUACUGGUGUGUGCCAAGCCGAGUGCCAGGCACUGAGGGAGCCUGAAAUCCUGAUUAGACCAUGGAGAAGCCUGCCCCAGUGAAUGAGAUGGUCGACGUUUCCCAUUCACCCUUUGGUCACCUGUGCGGCUGGGCUCACUGCAGUCUGAGGAGACCAUGGUCCUUGGAGGCCAUGUGGGGGCCUGACCUCUUCCUUUUAGCUCAGCUUCUAGGACAGCCAACCCCAUCCCAAAAAUAUUCCGAGGAAUCCAGAUAAAAAGAGAUGAAAGGAAGAGGAUCAAUAGCAAAGACCAGGUUGAGAAAGAUGUUCCUAAACUCAGAUUUAUUGUCUUAAUUUCCUGACCAGGUUUGACUCUUGGGUGUGUAUGGUUCCCUUCCACCUCCACACAUGCUUAGGCUCUCUAGGGCCUCUGAGUCCCACCUCCUGAGAGCUGUGGUUUGAACCAUGUUCUAGGCUGGACAAGCGUGGUUUUCCGUGUGUCCUCCCUACUCCUGUAGAAAAGCUGUCGAGGUCCUGCAGCAAGUUUUCAGCAGCUGUCAGCAGGCUCGGUCCACAGCGAGCUGGGAGGAGAGGGGUUCAUCCUUGGGAGGAUGUGGGGACAUGAAGGGAGCAGGAGUGUGGCUCUGCCUGCCCUGACUCCACCUCACACAGUUCUUACUCACAUGCCCUCCUUAAGUUUCUCCCUCUCUCCUAGAUCCAGAUACUGCUCUUUCCUGGCAUUCACCUUGCCAACAAAUCGGGAACUGAAAAUGACAGUAUGUACCUGGGCACGUGGUCUGCCUCAUUAACCAGAGAAGCAGCUAAGAGGGCAGUGAGAUAUUGAGCUUCUGGCAAUUUCAAAUGUGCAUCAUUCAGUGGUUCCACACACAGGGUAAGGAGCCUGUAGCCUGAGACAGUAUAGGGGGGUUUCCUCGGUCUUUCUCCAACAUCCAUUCGGCCCUGGCCAUUUCUCAGCCUGGAGCACCCUGGACCUCUGAGGACCUCUCCUGGAGGUGGAGGAUUCAGAAUGAGCCCGAGAGGUAGGGCCAGUGUGUCUGCUUGCAGGGUUGUGGGCAGAGCACUGAACCAACAGGCCUGAGGUCCAUUCGGAGACAGACUCCCGGGUGCUGGCUUCUGUGGACCUGGCUCUUCUGCAGGAGCAGUUGGUGUGUCGCCCACCCUCCCUGAGUCUGUCCGAAUUUCUGAAUACCCCAGCAGUGAGGUGGAAUACAGAACAUUUCUACCUGGCAGUGCACCUGAGCCUUGUAGUGGAUGGUAUUGUGGGGAGCCCCACCCCAUUCCCCUAUCUCUGGCAGUAAUGCUGGUUUCCAGGUGCAUCCACCCUCUGAGGUCAGACCAGGCUGGCUCUGCUCCCCAGUGGCCGGAGGAGCCAAACCCCAAGACUUCUGCCCGAAUUACCGAGUCCUUUUUCUCUAUAAGGAGAAAGCUGGGGCCACCUGGCCUCUCUGGAGGGCUUAAGUACAAAGAUGUAGGAGCUUGUGUGGAGCCAGCCGGGAAAGAGCUGGAAUCCUGUGCUAGCAGCAGUGUGGCUCAGGCCUGGGGACAAGAAGAGGUGAGUCUGGGUCUGGCAAGGAGUUAUGCAGAGGAGGCUGCUUUCUUGGAGGACAGAGGUGAUGUUUUGUAGACAGCUAAGUCAGUUAGCUAUCUUGUAGGCGGUUAACAGGGCCGGACCUGGAGGAGUCAAUACAGAUGACAAGUGAGACACAUUCACUGAAGGUCAGCAUUAUAAAAAGGAAAAAGUAUUACACCCACAUUGUUCCCCUGGAGAAGAACAGCAGCGAUUGAUAUACUUACUAUAUAGGCAUCAAUCCCCUUGGGUGGGGAUGAAACCUCCAUAGCCCAUUCCUUCUGGGAAAUCCUUGUUUGUUCCUUCUGUGCUUGCUAUGUGACUGGCUUCCCCAUUUGAUCCCCAUUAACCAAUAUUACUUAAGUGACUAUACUUGUAAUCUUAUUGGCUGACCGUGGUUUUGUCCCACCUUGUACUUGCCUCAUCUCAUGGCUUUGCUAAAUAAAAACACUUUUGAGAAGUGGGGGGGGGGGUGUGAGCAACCCACUUUCUGGUCCCCCUUCUGUUUCUCAGAAGCUAUCUUUCUCUCAAUAAAUUCUUCCUACUCUUAACCUCUGUUGUUCUUUGAAUUCUUCCAUUUUAGAGAACACGAACUCAGCGUUUCAGAUAUCUAGCAGGUUAGUAGGAAUUAUAAUAGUUUCCUUAUUUGGAUUACUUCAUGCCCUACAUCAAUGGUUUCCAAGGCUUGCUGAGACAAAACUAUGGCAGAUAGCUAAGUUAGUUAGAAAUUGUUUCUUUUUUUUUUUUUUUGGUACUGGGGAUUGAACUUGGGACCUUGUGCUUGCAAGGCAGGCGGCAGAACCACUGAGCUAAAUCCUCAGCCCCAAGAAAUUCUUUUAAGG